This 432-nucleotide ribosomal RNA is filed under the name uncultured bacterium. RNAcentral's name for it is "partial 16S ribosomal RNA". It matches the Rfam family "Bacterial small subunit ribosomal RNA", at positions 338 to 795 of the family's 1533-position model. The record is from RNAcentral.
CCUACGGGAGGCAGCAGUGGGGAAUAUUGCACAAUGGGCGAAAGCCUGAUGCAGCGACGCCGCGUGAGGGAUGACGGCCUUCGGGUUGUAAACCUCUUUCAGCAGGGAAGCGGUACCUGCAGAAGAAGCGCCGGCUAACUACGUGCCAGCAGCCGCGGUAAUACGUAGGGCGCAAGCGUUGUCCGGAAUUAUUGGGCGUAAAGAGCUCGUAGGCGGUUUGUCGCGUCUGCUGUGAAAGCCCGGGGCUUAACCCCGGGUGUGCAGUGGGUACGGGCAGACUAGAGUGCAGUAGGGGAGACUGGAAUUCCUGGUGUAGCGGUGGAAUGCGCAGAUAUCAGGAGGAACACCGAUGGCGAAGGCAGGUCUCUGGGCUGUACUGACGCUGAGGAGCGAAAGCAUGGGGAGCGAACAGGAUUAGAUACCCUUGUAGUC